Cryptotermes secundus is the source of this 5424-nucleotide RNA transcript. It is a transcript of the gene named legumain, with no coding region annotated. The transcript has 13 exons. NCBI's taxonomy places the organism in Eukaryota, Metazoa, Arthropoda, Insecta, Blattodea, Kalotermitidae. The record is from RefSeq and is a predicted model, not a curated record.
ACUAUAACGCCCAUAACCCUGCAUGAAUCGAGGUCAUGUUUUGUGGUGGGGAAUAAAGUGUGAUUUUUCCUCCUGCAUUGUGUCAUUGACAGGGAAGUAUUCAACUUGGACCUUGAGAGCGGGGAAGUCCAGUAGAAGAAUUUAGUACCGGCUUUUUAUGUGGGAUCUGUUUUGCUGUAAGAGUCUGCAGGACUAGUACAGCAAUUGUCAACUAGUGCUGAAGGAGCUAAUAGUUAUAACUGAAUGAACAGUUAAGUAUGGACGAAAUUAAGGCUCUGAAGAUGUCUAGAGGUCUAAUAAUGCUGGUAUCAUCGCUGAUGGUUCUGGGCUCAGCAUGUGGGUAUCAGCUUGAAAAUGGAGGAAAGAUUUGGGGCCUUUUAGUGGCUGGGUCUAGUGGCUAUGACAACUAUAGACAUCAGGCUGAUGUUUGCCAUGCCUAUCAAAUCCUUCACAAGAAUGGUAUUCCGGAUGAAAAUAUUAUUGUCAUGAUGUAUGAUGAUAUAGCAUAUAAUGAAAUGAAUCCAACAAGAGGAAUAAUAGUCAAUCAACCUAAUGGAUCAGAUGUGUACAAAGGAGUGCUGAAGGAUUACACUGGAGAGGCUGUGAAUUCCACAAACUUCCUGAAAGUCUUGACAGGUGAUGCAAAAGGAAUGAGAGGAAUUGGAUCAGGACGUGUAAUCAAAAGUGGACCGAGUGAUCAUGUAUUUGUUAACUUUGUUGACCAUGGUGCACCAGGGCUCCUUGCAUUUCCUCGUGAUGAACUUUAUGCUGACGAUCUUGAAAGGGCUUUGAGGAAAAUGGCAGUUAAGAGACAGUUUGCACGGCUGGUGUUUUAUGUGGAGGCCUGUGAAUCCGGUUCAAUGUUUGACAGCCUCUUGCCAGAUGAUCUGAACAUCUUUGUAGUAACUGCUGCUGAUCCACAUGAAUCCUCUUAUGCAUGUUACUAUGACAGCCAGAGACAGACUUUCCUCGGUGAUGUUUUCAGUGUAAUGUGGAUGCAGGACUCUGAGAAGGAAGAUCUACUCCAAGAAUCUUUGCAUCAUCAAUACGAGAUCGUACGAACGGAAACCAACACAAGUCAUGUGGAAGAAUAUGGGGAUUUGGAUGUUGGAUCAAUGCAUGUCUCUGAGUUCCUGGGUUAUCAAAUCAGCCACAAACCGAAGUCAUUCAAAACCAAGCUGCCACCUGUUAAUGAUGCAGUACCAAGCCACCAUGUUCCAAUUGCUAUUUUACAACAUAAGUUGGAAGCAGCAGUUGAUCCAAAGGAGAAGCAAGAAAUUAAAUUCCAGUUGCAUCGGACACUGAAAUAUCGUCACCAUAUGGAAAGUAUUGUGUCAGAUAUCCUGAUGCUAGCCACUGGUAGGGAUGAAGACAAGGUUCAAGAACUGAAAGUAAAUGGAUACAAAUUGAGCCCAAAGCAGUUCAGUUGCUACAAGAAAUUGGUUUCCUCUUUCUCUGAGAAAUGCUUCAAACUUUCAGAUAAUCCUCAUGCUUUUAGACAGCUGUACAUACUAGCGAAUGUAUGUGGCCAUGAGAAAGUAAGCAUGAAGUCUAUGAUGAAUGCCAUCACUAAGGUCUGCUCAAGACAACCUCGGCUGCGUGGCAUUAUUUAAGAUGUUAGCAGUUUACUGACAUGACAGCAGUGUUUCAGCAGAUACGUAUUCUUGGUAUUUAUAUAUUUGUAAUAUCUGCUAUUUCUUCUCACCGGUUUUCUUGGCUGCUGAAUCUGAAAUGAAGAUUGGACAGGCUAUCACAAUUGAUGAUGAUGCUUGAAUGAAUGUUACUUUUAUAGAUAAUUUAAUAUUCUUGACUUGAUUUUGUUAGAAAUGAUUCUGCUGAAAGUUCAGUUUUUCAUGCAUGUCAUCAUUAAUGUCUGUACAUAUCUUUUAAUAGUGUAUGGCCUACAUUAACCUACUUCUGUGGCAUCAGCAUGCGACCGUAACACAUUCUUACUUUAAGUCAGUACAUAAUAGUACACAAAUUUGUAGCCUUAAGAUUGCUGUCUUCUGGGAUGUGAUGUUGUGUAGUGUGGAAGAUUUUUACUGAUGUUUUGGAGGAAUCUUCAGGGUAGAAGAGUAAGUGUGGAUACAGGCAGAGAACAGAUGAGAUAUGAGCCCUGUUAACCAAGAGGAAUAAAGGGAAGAUGAAAGAAUCAGAGGGCCUUGAGAAGGGUGUUCUGUAAGAAUAGAGAUGUGGGAAAAAUGAUGGCUCAGCUGGUAGGAGGAGGUGAGGAGAGAUGAAAUAAAGGGUGUUAUGGGUGGGAGAAAGACAAACACUAAACAAGUGUUGAGAGCAGAGUAAGGGGAUAAAAAUAAGCAGAAGAUGAAGCAGACACUUAGAAAGGCAAUGUCCAUGUCUUGAGAAGGGCAGUGUGUGCCGGUUCCAGUGGCCUUGUUUGAGAACCUCAACAUGAAAGGUAACAUGCUUCCAGAAUGUUAGCAUGUAUCUCCUGGACUACACGAAGCCACAUCCCAGGAGACAGUGCAAUUUCUCUGUCCAUUUUUACUACACGUAUGUUAAAGAACUGACUUAAAAUAUUUGCGCUGUUGGCAGAGGGUACUGAACCCCUUCCUGCAAUAAUACCUGUCUCACAUAUGACAUUUAUUAUGGAACUGAAUGUUGUAACCACAUAGCUAUCUGCUGUGUGAUAUAUAUAUGUGUAUAUAUAUAUAUAUAUCAAGUGCAGUUAGUAGUUGUAUGGAAAUAGAAGUACCCACUGUCAUUGACAGAACCAAAGUGACAUAAGAAUCAAUAUUUAGAGCUAAUCUUUUGCAGAUAGCUAUGUGACAGUAUAAAUUAGCUUUCUGUUUCUACUUAUCACUUUAAAAAGAAGUUUGUUUAUACAGAAAUGCAGUUUAAUACAUCAAAAUAUAUUACACAUAACGCUUUUCAGGGGCUGUAAGUACUCUGACAUGUACAGGGUCAUCAAAAAAGAACACUGGGAUUAUAAAACACUAUUAUUCAAAAACUGUUAAACAUAUCAAAAUGAUUCAAGUUUUAAAAUGUGGCGAAGGAACAUAAGUUUUGGAUAUGCUCAGUUGAUGGUGGGUAGCAAGUGACAUUGAGAUGCUUUUUGUCUGUUGACAACUUGUGCACAAGGCUGGCUGUCACAUUUCUCGAGCCCUGCUAGUUUUACCUCUCAGUGCAAGUAAGUGUUAGGAGAGAUGUGAACCAUGCAACAAAAGGCUGUGUGUGGUUUAUGGUAUGCAGAAUUGGUAUCGGUUGUGUAAUAGUGGUAAGUGGCAAAGGUUACAUCCAGGAGAAAAAGCACCAGAUGAUAAGGCUCUGAAUCAUUGCUUGAAACAGUUCAAAGAAACAGGAGGUGUUGCAAAACAGAAAUCUUCAGUUCAGCCAGGAAUAUCACUCCACAUUCUCUUCCAAUGUUCCUGGUCGACCUGAAGAUUUCUGUUUUACAUCACUUCCUGUUUCUGUGAACUGUUUUAACCGAUGAUUCAGAGCCUUAUCAUCUGGUGCCUUUUCUCCUGGAGUGAGCGAGAGUGAAUGUAAACUUUGCCACUUAUGUUGCACUGUUAUAACUGAUUUCAAUUCUGCAUACCAUAAAACGAACUGAGCCUUCUGCUGCAUGGUUCACAUCUUGCCUGACACUUGCACUGGGAGGUAAAACUAGCAGGUCUUGCACACAAAUUGUAUAGAUUGGUCAACUGACAAAAGCAUCUCGACAUCGCUUGCUACCCACCAUCAACUGAGCAUAUCCAAAACUUACGUUCUGUCACCGCAUUUUAAAACUUGAUUUCAAUAUGUUCAACAGUUUUAGAAUGAUAGGUCUUUUUACUUUUACCUAGGUUUUAUAAUACUGUAAUUCUUUUUCGAUGACCCCAUGUUUGGUCCCUCUGAAUUGCUUAUGUAAAAGUUAUGGUUAUCUUCUUCCUGCUACCUGAGAAAGAUUUGUUCCCCUGAAAUUAUGGUGUGCAGAGAAAGACCCAUUGUGGCUGAAUGUGAGAAAUGCAAAUGUAUACAUUUUUGUAAAAGCUGGAAAAGGAGUGGGCAUUACUUAAGGGCCCCAUAGACACUGCAGCUUGCAAUGAUAUAUGUAUCAGCUCUUAUAUCAAUAUAUAUGGGAUAUCUUUAGGAGUUCAUUAUUUUAAGGGGGGUAGAUAUUGACUUGUCAUAUAUUUGACAUCUGUAAUGAUGUAGAUGUUAACAGAACUGAUCUAGAUGUGGAGAAGCCCAUUAAUUACUUUAUGUACACAAGUGUAAUGUCAGGUUAUAUUAAUUAUCUUGAUUUGAACUUCAGAGUUUUGGCUGACUGCAGUUCAGGUAUCAUCUUGAAAGAUAUUUUCUAUUAUGUGACAUGUACUUAACAGCUUAAUGUGAUAAGUUAACUUCACACUGUUCUACAAUUUAGUGAAUUAUAAUGCAAGACAGACUUUAAAAAACUGUAAUAUCAAGUGACAUUGUCCUUUUUUCACCAGUAUACUGUGUGACAUUGAUACUGUUAUUUUCAAAGAAAAAUUUUGAACAUCUUAUAUCAGUGAAUGUUCCAAAGUCAGAAGAACCAUUGAGUGGUAUGUAGUUUUCCCAAGGCUGUCUUUCAUUUUUUGCCUUUUUCUUGGUGAUAAUGCUCAGAGGGAAGUUCAUGAAAUUAAGCACUGAUUUAAAAGAAGGCACAGGCCUGAAGUAGUUUGCUGCUGGAACUGUGUGAUUGUUGUCUUAGUGUAUGUAAAAGUUGCUUGUACAUUUUGGCUAGUAGGCAACUACACAUUCCUAGAAUCGAUAUACAUCAGGAUUCUCUUCCAGCGGUUGCAUGCGAAACAGGAAAGAAAUCUGGCAUCACUCUUGAUACUGGACCUAACUUUGGAAUUUGGUCCAAAAUAUCAAACCAGUUGUUUGUGAAUCCCAUGUAGACUUUUUAUGGAUUCAUAUUUAAUGCCAGUUGUUGUGAAAAUAAUUUAAGUCUUUGAAGUUCUUUUAAAGAGUGCAAUUCAAAAUGCGUCCUAAAUAAAUAAUUAUAGUUUUCUUAAUCUGAAAUUGAGUCAGCUGUGUAGGAAGAACACUGAAAUUUUUGCAGUGCUGUAUUUUGAUCAGACAGUUUGCACCUUUGUUGUUGUGCUCUAGAGUAGAAUACAUUGUUAUUUCUGAUAACUCAUUCAUUUUGUGAAGAGGAAAGUCUAAUUCUUACCUAAUCUGUAUGAAUUAUUGUAGUAAAACUUAUCUUAAAGUGAAUCUAGAAGUAUCACGGCAGUCUCACUCUUGAAAACAUUCUUUGCAUUUCAUUUGAAAUUUUGUUGUUUGGACCAAGAGAUUAGUUUUAAGGGGCUAUAUAUUGUUUUAUUUUGUUUUCAUUUUUACGUUUCAAGAACUAUGUUGAAAAGUAAUAUUUAUAACAAUGUCCUCUAAUUCAUUUGAGAUUUAAAUGUGUAUCUAUUUUACCUAUAAUGAAGAAGUAAAAGCAUUCUCACAUAA